Molecule: small nuclear RNA, 301 nt
Filed under: Pogona vitticeps (central bearded dragon)
Lineage: Eukaryota; Metazoa; Chordata; Lepidosauria; Squamata; Agamidae
Description: 7SK RNA (ENSPVIG00000014260.1)
Rfam family: 7SK RNA
About the family: 7SK was discovered as an abundant small nuclear RNA in the mid-70s but a possible function has only recently been suggested. Two independent studies have found that 7SK RNA binds the CDK9/cyclin T complex (known as elongation factor P-TEFb).
Source: Rfam by way of RNAcentral
GGAUGUGAGGGCGAUCUGGCUGCGACAUCUGUCACCCCAUUGAUCGCCAGAGUUGAUUCGGCUGAUCUGGCUGGCUAGGCGGGUGUCCCCUUCCUCCCUCACCGCUCCAUGUGCGUCCCUCCCGAAGCUGCGCGCUCGGUGGAAGAGGACGACCAUCCCAGAUAGAAGGAGUGUACCGUUCUUCGGUCAAGGGUAUACGAUAGCUGCGCUCCCCUGCUAGAACCUCCAAACAAGCUCAAGGUCCAUUUGUAGGAGUCACUGUUUCACUUUGAUCCAAGUGGUUUAAAAGAAACCUCAUCUU